CCUACGGGAGGCUGCAGUGGGGAAUAUUGGACAAUGGGGGCAACCCUGAUCCAGCCAUGCCGCGUGUGUGAAGAAGGCCCUCGGGUUGUAAAGCACUUUCAGUGAGGAAGAACGCCUGGUGGUUAAUACCCAUCAGGAAAGACAUCACUCACAGAAGAAGCACCGGCUAACUCCGUGCCAGCAGCCGCGGUAAUACGGAGGGUGCGAGCGUUAAUCGGAAUUACUGGGCGUAAAGCGCGCGUAGGUGGCUUGAUAAGCCGGUUGUGAAAGCCCCGGGCUCAACCUGGGAACGGCAUCCGGAACUGUCAAGCUAGAGUGCAGGAGAGGAAGGUAGAAUUCCCGGUGUAGCGGUGAAAUGCGUAGAGAUCGGGAGGAAUACCAGUGGCGAAGGCGGCCUUCUGGACUGACACUGACACUGAGGUGCGAAAGCGUGGGUAGCAGACAGGAUUAGAUACCCGUGUAGUC
Molecule: ribosomal RNA, 465 nt
Filed under: Vreelandella stevensii
Lineage: Bacteria; Pseudomonadati; Pseudomonadota; Gammaproteobacteria; Oceanospirillales; Halomonadaceae
Description: partial 16S ribosomal RNA
Rfam family: Bacterial small subunit ribosomal RNA
Source: RNAcentral